GAUCCUGGCUCAGAAUCAACGCUGGCGGCGUGCCUAACACAUGCAAGUCGAACGCGAAAGGGGAGCAAUCCCUGAGUAGAGUGGCAAACGGGUGAGUAACACGUGGGUGACCUGCCUUCGAGUGGGGGAUAACGUUCCGAAAGGAACGCUAAUACCGCAUGACAUCCUGUCCUUAGACGGACGGAGAUCAAAGCUAGGGAUCGCAAGACCUGGCGCUUGAAGAGGGGCCCGCGCCUGAUUAGCUAGUUGGUGAGGUAACGGCUCACCAAGGCAACGAUCAGUAUCCGGCCUGAGAGGGCGGACGGACACACUGGGACUGAGACACGGCCCAGACUCCUACGGGAGGCAGCAGUGGGGAAUUGUUCGCAAUGGGCGCAAGCCUGACGACGCAACGCCGCGUGGAGGAUGAAGAUCUUCGGGUCGUAAACUCCUGUCGAGCGGGAAGAACGUUUCGCGGAUGAAUAAGCCGCGAAAGUGACGGUACCGCUAAAGGAAGCCCCGGCUAACUCCGUGCCAGCAGCCGCGGUAAUACGGGGGGGGCAAGCGUUGUUCGGAAUUACUGGGCGUAAAGGGCUCGUAGGUGGCCAACUAAGUCAGACGUGAAAUCCCCAGGCUCAACUUGGGAACUGCGUCUGAUACUGGAUGGCUUGAAUUCGGGAGAGGGAUGCAGAAUUCCAGGUGUAGCGGUGA
RNAcentral lists this ribosomal RNA (690 nucleotides) under uncultured Acidobacteriota bacterium. RNAcentral's name for it is "bacterial SSU rRNA". It matches the Rfam family "Bacterial small subunit ribosomal RNA", at positions 15 to 684 of the family's 1533-position model. Lineage: Bacteria; Pseudomonadati; Acidobacteriota. The record is from RNAcentral.